This 83-nucleotide small nuclear RNA is filed under the name Proteomonas sulcata. Its description in RNAcentral is "partial Dictyostelium signal recognition particle". The record is from RNAcentral. Lineage: Eukaryota; Cryptophyceae; Pyrenomonadales; Geminigeraceae.
UUCAGAAAGUCAAGAAGCACGGCUUCAAGUACCCUGGCAACAGGCCAGAUACAGUGAAGCACGUCCAUGGGAAAGUGGUCUUG